Molecule: long non-coding RNA, 264 nt
Organism: Neogale vison (American mink)
Lineage: Eukaryota; Metazoa; Chordata; Mammalia; Carnivora; Mustelidae
Exons: 3
Source: RefSeq, a predicted model, not a curated record
CCCGUCACGUGACAGAGUGCGGAGGCGGCCGCAGAGACGCCUCUCCUGCGGGCUAGGCGUGAUGAUAUUCACAUUUGAAACAAAUAGCCAUUGUAUACUCAGGACAGUGCAAAUUCUUGUCAGACUAGUUAUAACUCCUAUCAACCACACUAAAAAAAAAAAUCAGAAUGCAAGUUCAUGAAACUAAAGAUAUGGAACAACAAAUGAGGAAGAUGUAAAGUGAAAAGAGAAGAGGGCUGAGUAUGAAAUUUUGGAGUGAUAAAU